RNAcentral lists this ribosomal RNA (217 nucleotides) under Bacillus sp. Soil768D1. Its description in RNAcentral is "partial 16S ribosomal RNA". It matches the Rfam family "Bacterial small subunit ribosomal RNA", at positions 1 to 212 of the family's 1533-position model. The record is from RNAcentral. Lineage: Bacteria; Bacillati; Bacillota; Bacilli; Caryophanales; Bacillaceae.
UUCUUCGGAGAGUUUGAUCCUGGCUCAGGACGAACGCUGGCGGCGUGCCUAAUACAUGCAAGUCGAGCGAAUCGAUGGGAGCUUGCUCCCUGAGAUUAGCGGCGGACGGGUGAGUAACACGUGGGCAACCUGCCUAUAAGACUGGGAUAACUUCGGGAAACCGGAGCUAAUACCGGAUACGUUCUUUUCUCGCAUGAGAGAAGAUGGAAAGACGGUU